This 59-nucleotide ribosomal RNA is filed under the name Azadinium spinosum. RNAcentral's name for it is "partial 5.8S ribosomal RNA". The record is from RNAcentral. Lineage: Eukaryota; Dinophyceae; Gonyaulacales; Amphidomataceae.
GUCCAGACUUCGCCUUACAACGAUCCCUUGUAGCCCCAAUUAGCACUGGGGCCUGGCAU